UCCGUAGGUGAACCUGCGGAGGGAUCAUUACCGAGUUUACAACUCCCAAACCCCUGUGAACAUACACUUGUUGCCUCGGCGGAUCAGCCCGCUCCCGGUAAAACGGGACGGCCCGCCAGAGGACCCCUAAACUCUGUUUCUAUAUGUAACUUCUGAGUAAAACCAUAAAUAAAUCAAAACUUUCAACAACGGAUCUCUUGGUUCUGGCAUCGAUGAAGAACGCAGCAAAAUGCGAUAAGUAAUGUGAAUUGCAGAAUUCAGUGAAUCAUCGAAUCUUUGAACGCACAUUGCGCCCGCCAGUAUUCUGGCGGGCAUGCCUGUUCGAGCGUCAUUUCAACCCUCAAGCACAGCUUGGUGUUGGGACUCGCGUUAAUUCGCGUUCCCCAAAUUGAUUGGCGGUCACGUCGAGCUUCCAUAGCGUAGUAGUAAAACCCUCGUUACUGGUAAUCGUCGCGGCCACGCCGUUAAACCCCAACUUCUGAAUGUUGACCUCGGAUCAGGUAGGAAUACCCGCUGAACUUAAGCAUAUCAAUAAGCGGAGGA
Molecule: ribosomal RNA, 543 nt
Filed under: Fusarium oxysporum
Lineage: Eukaryota; Fungi; Ascomycota; Sordariomycetes; Hypocreales; Nectriaceae
Description: eukaryotic LSU rRNA
Rfam family: 5.8S ribosomal RNA (bases 178-331)
Source: RNAcentral